CAGGGCUCUGAAUCACAUGAGCCCCAAGAAGAUGUAGGUGCUGUGUGAUUUUGAGUGAC
Molecule: microRNA precursor, 59 nt
Filed under: Homo sapiens (human)
Lineage: Eukaryota; Metazoa; Chordata; Mammalia; Primates; Hominidae
Description: miAB29_pre
Source: RNAcentral